This 465-nucleotide ribosomal RNA is filed under the name Vreelandella stevensii. RNAcentral's name for it is "partial 16S ribosomal RNA". It matches the Rfam family "Bacterial small subunit ribosomal RNA", at positions 338 to 795 of the family's 1533-position model. The record is from RNAcentral. Lineage: Bacteria; Pseudomonadati; Pseudomonadota; Gammaproteobacteria; Oceanospirillales; Halomonadaceae.
CCUACGGGCGGCUGCAGUGGGGAAUAUUGGACAAUGGGGGGAACCCUGAUCCAGCCAUGCCGCGUGUGUGAAGAAGGCCCUCGGGUUGUAAAGCACUUUCAGUGAGGAAGAACGCCUGGUGGUUAAUACCCAUCAGGAAAGACAUCACUCACAGAAGAAGCACCGGCUAACUCCGUGCCAGCAGCCGCGGUAAUACGGAGGGUGCGAGCGUUAAUCGGAAUUACUGGGCGUAAAGCGCGCGUAGGUGGCUUGAUAAGCCGGUUGUGAAAGCCCCGGGCUCAACCUGGGAACGGCAUCCGGAACUGUCAAGCUAGAGUGCAGGAGAGGAAGGUAGAAUUCCCGGUGUAGCGGUGAAAUGCGUAGAGAUCGGGAGGAAUACCAGUGGCGAAGGCGGUCUUCUGGACUGACACUGACACUGAGGUGCGAAAGCGUGGGUAGCAAACAGGAUUAGAUACCCUAGUAGUC